GUACUCGCUUCAGCAGCACAUAUACUAAAAUUGGAAUGAUACAGAGAAGUUUAGUGUGGGCUCUCCACAAGCAUGACAUGCAAAUUCGUGAAGCAUUCCAUAUUCUU
Molecule: small nuclear RNA, 107 nt
Organism: Homo sapiens (human)
Lineage: Eukaryota; Metazoa; Chordata; Mammalia; Primates; Hominidae
Source: Ensembl